CCCAGUGGGUUCAGGCAGUGUUUCUACACAACGGGUCCAUGGAAGCCCAAUUUGAGAGAUGAUCUGUAAGAACAGAGGCCACGGUUAGAUUUGUUUAGUGAAUGCAGCACAUUCCUCCUCUUUUUACAGACCCACAGCACUAAGGUACUGAGCAGUUGUGCUGCAAAGUCAGCAGUUUAACCACAUUGAAUUAUUUUUGCUUGUUUGUUUGUUUCAGUAAGAUCUGUUUCACAUCCCAAGGAACUAGUGUGUCCACAGGGCACACCCAGAACACAAGAGAGUGCUAGUUAUUUAGGUGUCUGUCUUUCAAGGAGGCAAUCUAUGAUGGUCUGGAACAUGUUUCUUCCUCUGUCAAAAAAGAAAAAGAAAGAAACAAAAAUCUGUAUUUUACAAGAAUUACCGCUUUAAAACAAAAGGACAAAAUUCCAAUGGUGGACGGUUAGGUACCAGUCAGCCACGUGGGAAGGGGAAGGAAUCUGCCAUAAAAGCUCUUUUGCCCUCUGUCCUUGACUGUAGAUGUGGCCUUUUAACAAGUGACUUUUCUGGGCCCCCUGUUCCUGUUUUGUAAACAGUCACAAGGAUCAAACGAGUUACUCGUGACUAGCUCUUAUUGUCGCAAACAUACAAAUUUAGUGAUUUCCUUUUCCACUCACAUGAUAAGCUUGAUAGGCUUAUAACUUAGUAAAAUAGCCCUUUGUGUGACAUAAUUUUGGAACAGAGAACGUUUACAAAGGGAGGAUUCAUCUGAGUCUGGGUUGCUGCUAGGAAGACUUUCUGGAGGAGUGGAAAGUCAGAGUCCGCUCCCAGGAAGACUGCUGCUGACCGGAGGCAAGCCGACCACUGGGAGCUGGCAGCUCUGCUCUGUCUGCUGAAAAAGAGAACCAUCUCCAAGUCGUGGAGACCUCAGAAACCCUGGGAAGAGCCUGCUGAGCUGGCUGUUUCUCCCACCAGCCCCGCAGAAGGUCAUGCCCAGGAUACAGAGAAAAAAAUCCCAGGUAAGGAGUAACUCGCACUUUAGGACAAAAUCUAUCUUGAGUGAAAUUUCUUGCUUCUCUGCACACCAACCUGAGAACAAAUAGAUGGACAGCAACUGGCAUCUUCCUGGCACAUU
Molecule: long non-coding RNA, 1111 nt
Organism: Bos indicus x Bos taurus (hybrid cattle)
Lineage: Eukaryota; Metazoa; Chordata; Mammalia; Artiodactyla; Bovidae
Source: Ensembl